AGUGCAAUUGUUGGAUUAUAUAGUAGAGUUUUUGGAUUUGUAAGAAACUUCAAAUUUUUUUCCAAAGUGGCUGUAUACUUUUGCAUUCUCAGCAGCAAU
Molecule: microRNA precursor, 99 nt
Filed under: Marmota monax (woodchuck)
Lineage: Eukaryota; Metazoa; Chordata; Mammalia; Rodentia; Sciuridae
Source: RNAcentral